Molecule: ribosomal RNA, 366 nt
Filed under: uncultured Glomeromycotina
Lineage: Eukaryota; Fungi; Glomeromycota
Description: LSU rRNA
Source: RNAcentral
UUGAAAGGGAAACGAUUGAAGUCAGUCGUACCGACGAGAAAUCAGCUUUUUGAAUGUGCAUUUGUGGGCGUAUGAGAUCUUCAUUGUUUGCAAUAUGUAUGUUUCUUUGGUGUACUUUUUCGUAUGGUAGGUCAACGUCGGUUUUGGUCGCCAUAAAAUGAUCGGAGGAAUGUAGCUUCGACCUCGGUUGAAGUGUUAUAGCCUUUGGUAAAUGUGGUGAUUAGGACCGAGGAUUGCAACGAAUACCUUUUAGGCUAUCCGUCUGACCUCUGAAAGUUACUUAGGUGCCGAAAGCUUGCUUACGGUCAUUUAAGUUGACGGUCAAUAGGUUAGAACGUGAUUACAUUCGUUAAGGAUGUUGACGUA